UGACUUGGAAGAGGAAGGUCCUGGUGGUA
Molecule: non-coding RNA, 29 nt
Filed under: Homo sapiens (human)
Lineage: Eukaryota; Metazoa; Chordata; Mammalia; Primates; Hominidae
Source: RNAcentral